RNAcentral lists this microRNA (20 nucleotides) under Callorhinchus milii (elephant shark). RNAcentral's name for it is "eshark_NOVEL_83". Lineage: Eukaryota; Metazoa; Chordata; Chondrichthyes; Chimaeriformes; Callorhinchidae. The record is from RNAcentral.
UUGUCAGCUGCAGUUGUUGC